GGUGGUAUAGUUCAGUGGCAGAGUGCAUGCCUAGCAUGCCCAAGGUCCUGGGUUCAAUCCCCAGUUCCUCCA
RNAcentral lists this transfer RNA (72 nucleotides) under Camelus ferus (Wild Bactrian camel). It matches the Rfam family "tRNA". From Rfam's summary of the family: Transfer RNA (tRNA) molecules are approximately 80 nucleotides in length. Lineage: Eukaryota; Metazoa; Chordata; Mammalia; Artiodactyla; Camelidae. The record is from Rfam by way of RNAcentral.